Camellia sinensis is the source of this 1987-nucleotide long non-coding RNA. RefSeq lists it as uncharacterized. Lineage: Eukaryota; Viridiplantae; Streptophyta; Magnoliopsida; Ericales; Theaceae. The record is from RefSeq and is a predicted model, not a curated record.
CUCUCUCUCUCUCACGACUGUAAGCAAGGCAGACGACUGUGUCGAGCGAUGACAACAACAGUGUGAGACGACAUCGAGCAACGGCAGACGAUGACGUCGAGCGAUGGCGAGCAGCGUGAGACUGCGAGCAAUGGUAGACGACGGCAACGUGAACUAGGUUGAUGAUGUUCCAUUUGAUGAUGUGCUAGCUGUUAUUGGCAACUACGAUAUCUGUAUUGUAAAAAACAUGCGGCUAAAUGCAGAUGCUAUUUCUUGUGCAAAUAGGACAAAGCUAAUAAUGCAGUAUGGUGUUGGGCUGAAAGAAUGAGAUGCACAUUGCUGUAAAGCAGAAGCUGCUUGGAGAGCCAGUUGGUGAAACACUGUUGGGAAAAAAAGUGAGUUUUAAUUAUCUUGAUUUUUCUGCCACAAGUUUUCCUACAAAUGCAUUUGUACAUUUUGUGUUUUCUUUUCUUAUUUUCUUUUCAUUGUUUUACUUUUUUAAUAUCCUAGAAUAACUUUAUGUUGAACAAAUGCUUCAAAUAAAUGAUUUAAAGUUGCUUGCUACCACAUCUAGAUGGUUUUGAAUAUAAUCAUGAUUAUUAUUUACUUGCUACCACACCUAGAGUUGUGCAUGCUUUGAUGUAGCUUUCCAUUUACUGUUGAUAUUAAUGUGAUUUCUAGCAAAUUAUGUUCUAUGCAUAUUGAUGGUUUACUGUAUUAAUUUAAUUGAAUCUAGUGUCUGAACUGCUAAUGGAUGUAAAUAUAGUAGGUAGUUGAAUCUUGAUUGUUCCCUUAGCUAUCAAUAUGAGAUUUUGAGUGGUUAAAAAAUUCAAGCAUUUUGAUGUGUUCAUGGCAUCAUAGAUAUGAAAGUGCGUUUUAGGUUUGCUUUUGCUUAUUUAUUCAUAUGGGUUGGAAUUUAACCAUACAAAGAAGCAAAACACAAGGUGUAAAAGGUCAUGUCUACCAUUAACAUUGAAUUCAACCUCGUGGAAGGGUUUCAAGUAACAAUUUUGUCAUUCUUUUUCAGCCUCGUGAAUUCAAGGUGUUGACACCCCAAAACACCAAACGGCAUCAGAUUAGCACGAAACUUGGCACACACGGCCACCUAGGCACGAGAGACUUGUGGGAGAAGAUAGGACUCGAAUCGGGUUCUUGGUUUGCGAGUUAGAGCCGGAUUUCAGUCUAGGGAAAUUAGUUCAUUAAGAAACGUAGAAUCCGAGGUAUUGACGCCUCAAAAUCACCAAACAACGUCAGAUUAGCACGAAACUUGGCAUACACAACUGCCAAGGCACGAGAGAAUUAUGGGAGAAGACGGGGCUCGAAUCGGGUUCCCAAUUUGGGAGUUAGAGAUUUCGAUCUAGGCAAACUAAUUCCUUAAGGAACUUAGAAUCUGAGGUGUUGACACCUCAAAAUCACCAAACGACGUCGGAUUAGCACGAAACUUGGCACACACGACCGCCAGGGAACGAGAGAAUUGUGGGAGAAGACAUGACUAAAAUCGGGUUCCCGGUUUGGGAGUUAGAGCCGGAUUUCAGUCUAGGCCAACUAAUUUCUUAAGAAGCUUAGAAUUUGAGGUGUUAACGCCUCAUAAUCACCAAACGGCGUUGGAUUAGCAUGAAACUUGGCACGCAUGACCACUUUGACACAAGAGAGGGACUCAAAUCGGGUUCCUGAUUUGGGAGUUAGAGUCGGAUUCGGUCUAGGCAAUCUAAUUCCUUAAGAAACUUAGAAUUCGAGGUGUUAACGCCCUAAAAUCACCAAAUGGGGUCAAAUUAGAACGAAACUUGGCACACACACCACUUAAGCACGAGAGACUUGUGGGAGAAGACGGGACUCAAAUCAGGUUCUCGAUUUGGGAGGUAGAGCUAGAUUUUGGUCUAGGCGAUCUAGUUCCUUAAGAAAUUUAGAAUUCGAGGUGUUGACGCCCCAAAAUCACCAGACGGCGUCAGAUUAGCACAAAACUUGGCACGCAUGACCGCCUAGGCAUGAGAGACUUGUGGGAGAAGAU